GAGCAAAGGCGUCGAAUUCAGUAAAAAAUGGCGCAAAUUGCAUUGAAGGUUGGCGAAAUCAUUGGAUGCGAUUCUCCGUGCCUAUCAAAUUUUCUAUUUCGUUUUGAUUAUGGCCUCGAACAAGUCGCUACAUU
Non-coding RNA from Morus notabilis, 134 nucleotides. Lineage: Eukaryota; Viridiplantae; Streptophyta; Magnoliopsida; Rosales; Moraceae. The record is from Rfam.